UUGCACAAGACUGAAUCUGGAUCACCAUCUAGUGGCAGACGGGUGAGUAACACGUGGGUGACCUACCUUUCGUUGGGGAUAACAGUUGGAAACGAUUGCUAAUACCGAAUAAAAUAUAAAAGCCAAUUUUAUAUUGAAAGGAGCCUUUAAAGCUUCGCGAUUAGAUGGGCCUGCGGCGUAUUAACUUGUUGGUGAGGUAAUGGCUUACCAAGGCGACGAUGCGUAGCCGGACUGAGAGGAUGAACGGCCACACUGGAACUGAGACACGGUCCAGACUCC
Molecule: ribosomal RNA, 279 nt
Filed under: uncultured bacterium
Lineage: Bacteria
Description: partial 16S ribosomal RNA
Rfam family: Bacterial small subunit ribosomal RNA
Source: RNAcentral